Molecule: ribosomal RNA, 649 nt
Filed under: Heyndrickxia coagulans
Lineage: Bacteria; Bacillati; Bacillota; Bacilli; Caryophanales; Bacillaceae
Description: bacterial SSU rRNA
Rfam family: Bacterial small subunit ribosomal RNA
Source: RNAcentral
GGAACACCUGGCGGCGUGCUAAUACAUGCAGUCGUGCGGACUUUUAAAAGCUUGCUUUUAAAAGGUUAGCGGCGGACGGGUGAGUAACACGUGGGCAACCUGCCUGUAAGAUCGGGAUAACGCCGGGAAACCGGGGCUAAUACCGGAUAGUUUUUUCCUCCGCAUGGAGGAAAAAGGAAAGACGGCUUCGCUGUCACUUACAGAUGGGCCCGCGGCGCAUUAGCUAGUUGGUGGGGUAACGGCUCACCAAGGCAACGAUGCGUAGCCGACCUGAGAGGGUGAUCGGCCACAUUGGGACUGAGACACGGCCCAAACUCCAUACGGGAGGCAGCAGUAGGGAAUCUUCCGCAAUGGACGAAAGUCUGACGGAGCAACGCCGCGUGAGUGAAGAAGGCCUUCGGGUCGUAAAACUCUGUUGCCGGGGAAGAACAAGUGCCGUUCGAACAGGGGCGGCGCCUUGACGGUACCCGGCCAGAAAGCCACGGCUAACUACGUGCCAGCAGCCGCGGUAAUACGUAGGUGGCAAGCGUUGUCCGGAAUUAUUGGGCGUAAAGCGCGCGCAGGCGGCUUCUUAAGUCUGAUGUGAAAUCUUGCGGCUCAACCGCAAGCGGUCAUUGGAAACUGGGAGGCUUGAGUGCAGAAGAGGAAG